AUGCUCCUAGAUCAUACUUUCCAAGCGGUCAGCAAGGGAUAUACACAUGGAAUACUUAAGCAUUUACAUGUUGACAUGCUUCAGUGGAUGAAUAUUGUGAUAAAUGAAACAGCUUUCAGUCACAUUUCCUCCACCGUUACUUUUUCCAUAACAUCAAAUUAUGUCAUCAUGGACAAACAAAGUAAACGAGCAGCUGAGAGAAAGCUGACCCAAAGCUCCACGGUCUCCAAAGACUUUCAUAUUAAUUCUUGACCAACAUACUGUUGAGGAAAAGACACUAUGAAGAAGUAUUUUCAUCUAUUCCUCCAAGUCUGCGUCAAAUUGAAACUAUUAAAAG
RNAcentral lists this long non-coding RNA (337 nucleotides) under Numida meleagris (helmeted guineafowl). RNAcentral describes it as "lncRNA (ENSNMEG00000019672.1)". The record is from RNAcentral. Lineage: Eukaryota; Metazoa; Chordata; Aves; Galliformes; Numididae.